RNAcentral lists this ribosomal RNA (443 nucleotides) under uncultured bacterium. Its description in RNAcentral is "partial 16S ribosomal RNA". It matches the Rfam family "Bacterial small subunit ribosomal RNA", at positions 338 to 795 of the family's 1533-position model. The record is from RNAcentral.
CCUACGGGAGGCUGCAGUGGGGAAUAUUGGACAAUGGGGGGAACCCUGAUCCAGCGACGCCGCGUGAGUGAAGAAGUAUUUCGGUAUGUAAAGCUCUAUCAGCAGGGAAGAAAGAAAUGACGGUACCUGACUAAGAAGCCCCGGCUAACUACGUGCCAGCAGCCGCGGGAAUACGUAGGGGGUAAGCGUUAUCCGGAUUUACUGGGUUGAAAGGGGGCGUAGACGGCGAUGCAAGUCUGAAGUGAAAGGCGGGGGCCCAACCCCCGGACUGCUUUGGAAACUGGAUGGCUGGAGUGCAGGAGAGGUAAGUGGAAUUCCGAGUGUAGCGGUGAAAUGCGUAGAUAUUAGGAGGAACACCAGUGGCGAAGGCGGCUUACUGGACUGUAACUGACGUUGAGGCUCGAAAGCGUGGGGAGCAAACAGGAUUAGAUACCCUUGUAGUC